GAUGAACGCUGGCGGCGUGCCUAAUACAUGCAAGUCGAGCGAACAGACGAGGAGCUUGCUCCUCUGACGUUAGCGGCGGACGGGUGAGUAACACGUGGAUAACCUACCUAUAAGACUGGGAUAACUUCGGGAAACCGGAGCUAAUACCGGAUAAUAUAUUGAACCGCAUGGUUCAAUAGUGAAAGACGGUUUUGCUGUCACUUAUAGAUGGAUCCGCGCCGCAUUAGCUAGUUGGUAAGGUAACGGCUUACCAAGGCAACGAUGCGUAGCCGACCUGAGAGGGUGAUCGGCCACACUGGAACUGAAACACAGUCCAGACUCCUACGGGAGGCAGCAGUAGGGAAUCUUCAGCAAUGGGCGAAAGCUUGACGGAGCAACGCCGCGUGAGUGAUGAAGGUCUUCGGAUCGUAAAACUCUGUUAUUAGGGAAGAACAAAUGUGUAAGUAACUAUGCACGUCUUGACGGUACCUAAUCAGAAAGCCACGGCUAACUACGUG
This 497-nucleotide ribosomal RNA is filed under the name uncultured bacterium. Its description in RNAcentral is "partial 16S ribosomal RNA". It matches the Rfam family "Bacterial small subunit ribosomal RNA", at positions 28 to 507 of the family's 1533-position model. The record is from RNAcentral.